This 435-nucleotide ribosomal RNA is filed under the name uncultured bacterium. RNAcentral's name for it is "bacterial SSU rRNA". It matches the Rfam family "Bacterial small subunit ribosomal RNA", at positions 355 to 773 of the family's 1533-position model. The record is from RNAcentral.
UGGGGAAUCUUGCGCAAUGGUCGAGAGACUGACGCAGCGACGCCGCGUGCGGGAGGACGCCUUUCGGGGUGUAAACCACUGUUGCCCGGGACGAACUCGCUUAUUCGUAAGCGUUGACGGUACCGGGUGAGGAAGCACCGGCUAACUCCGUGCCAGCAGCCGCGGUAAUCCGGAGGGUGCGAGCGUUGUCCGGAAUCAUUGGGCGUAAAGGGCGCGUAGGUGGCCCGGUGAGUCUUUGGUGAAAGCGCGGGGCUCAACCCUGCGUCGGCCAGGGAUACUGCCGCGGCUCGAGCACUGUAGAGGCAGGCGGAAUUCCGGGUGUAGCGGUGGAAUGCGUAGAGAUCCGGAAGAACACCGGUGGCGAAGGCGGCCUGCUGGGCAGGAGGGGCAACCCUUUCAAGCUGACACUGAGGCGCGACAGCGUGGGGAGCAAAC